AGCAGAGAUCUCGGUUCUGGCCCGUCGUCGAAUUUCAUGCAAUAUCGGGGAUUUUGUCCUCGAUAAAGUCGGUGUCCAAUACAGUAACUCUGAUUUCGCUUCUCAAUAGUUUGAGAGCUUGAACCAUAAGUUUGCUUCCCCAGCGUCUGAGGAUCUUACUUCCUGAGUGCCCCUAAAAUCGUCGGAUUCAUGUUCUCAUAUCUUGUGCCUUUAUAUACACAGGAAAAAUGAGAAUUAGAACGACAAAUAGAUGAGAAGAACACAGAUAUGAACUUAGCUUAAUUGAAUAGAAGUUUUCGAGAAUGGGAAACUCCUGUGGCUGUUGUUAUACGCUGCCCAGCCCAGAAGGUAUCCGCCGACAGAGGCGACGGGACAGUGCUGUAAAGUGGUGGUGGCUUUCUUAGCCAAACGACAACUGCUGAAAUCUCAGCUUGGGCUGCUAGUUGAGUUUCGGAGGCGGUUUCAUCGAACGGCACUGACUUGUUGGCGAGAGGCGAGAGGCGAGAGGCGGCGCUGACUUGCUGGCGAGUGGAGAGGUGGCGCUGGCUGCGUAGGCUGAACCGUGACGAGGGAGAGAGACAGCUGCGCUGCUCUGCUGAACCGCGACGAGGGAGAAAGGCAGUUGCGCUGCUGGACCGUGGCGAGGGAAGGAGGCAGCUGCGCUGCUGAACCGUGGUGAGGGAAAGUGAGCCAGAGUGCUUGAGUGAAACUUCCACUGUAGCCAAGCUUGUGCGAGUGAGGAUGUUGAGCUGUCAGUGGUGGAGCUUUUCGAUGAUUCAUUGCUAAGAACUGAAACUGAUGGCAAUGAGCAGGCAACUUCUGGACUUUCAACUUCUUCACCCGUCUGUGCCCUUUACUAGCCCGGCUGAGUGAGACCUUUGUCCAUUAUCUUUGUGGGCAGCAAGCUUGAUGUGUGCAGCUACGGAGCAUAAUCUGCCCUGAAACCUCUUUAGUUGGGGAUUUGUUGUUCUGAGGGGUCGAAUGAGAGAGAGAACCGAAGUAGCGCAGCUGAAAUACUUCCCUGAACCCGACGAGGGAGAGAGCCAGCGCUGACUUUAAGCGGCGCUGACUGCUGAACCGUGGCGAGGAAGAAGUCGGCGCUGACUGCGCCGCUGAACUGUGGCGAGGAAGAAGUCGGCGCUGACUGCGCCGCUGAACAGAAAGAACAGAGCGAUGCUGAUUGCCCAAAGCCACCAGUGAUUCGCAGCAAAUCGGAUGUUUUUCCUUUUGCCACACCUCGGAUCGGAUCUUGAAGAUUUCCCACCGCAUCUGCGAUCUGUUUCAGAAUUCUGGAACAUUGAAUCCAGAACUGAAGUAGGGUGUACAGAUUGAAAUUGAAUCGAGUGAGAGAAAGACUUAGCUUUGAGAAGGAGGGCCUCAUCGAGACCCGAGGACGACAGCUACGGCGUUACCGACCUAAAGGAGAAGAAUCCGGAGCAGCAAGCGCUCGUCAGGGGCGAUUUUCCCUUUUCUGAGAUCUAGGGCUCGACCGUUCGUCGGAUUCUAGACGGAGGUGCGACAGCGGCGAUGACUUCCUGAGAUUAGGGCUCGAGUUGGAUUUCGCGAAUGGAAUGAAGAACAGAGAGAGAUCGGCGCCGGGGCUUGACGCGUCGCCGGUCGUAGCCGACCGGGGCAGAUGGCGGCUGAACGGCCGGAGGAGGUGCAGCUGACCAGAAUUUAUGAAGGAGCGGUCCUUUCUCUUUUCACCGAUCAAAAACCCCAACAUAUUGCCCGGAGUCCCGAACUUCUCCCCCAUUCCUCUUUGAAAUUGAAAACGAUGAACAGUACCAGAUCCCUAAUUUCCCAAAUUUUCGAUGAACAAUGAUCUCUCGAUGAACAGUAC
This 1843-nucleotide long non-coding RNA is filed under the name Salvia miltiorrhiza (redroot sage). RNAcentral's name for it is "long non-coding RNA (SMIL_LNC014459)". Lineage: Eukaryota; Viridiplantae; Streptophyta; Magnoliopsida; Lamiales; Lamiaceae. The record is from RNAcentral.